UGCAUGACUUUUUACUGACUCAUUUGUCAAAACACUCUGACAUUAUCUAUGUAUGAUCAUUUUAGAGAUUGAGGAAAAUAAACUCAAGAACUGGUGACUUGCCCAGGUCACACUACUGGUGGGUAGCAAAACAGCAGCUAGAAUCUAUAGCUUCUGGCUUUCCAGCCAGUCCUUGUUCCACUACAUUCAUUACUUCUUUGCUGGACUGAAAAGCUUAGGACUUUUCCUGUAAGUAAUACGGAGCCAUUGAAGAUCUGAAGUUUCAAGGAAGUGGUAGGAUGGAUUCUCUUUUACUAUAAGAUGAGGAUGAGGAAGCGGAGGAUCAGAGCUUACGUGAUUGGCUCAGUAUCACACAGUACCACACAAUAAACGAUGAGGAGAUUCUGGCUCACAGAGGUGAAGUGAUCUGCUCAAGAUGAAAUAGCCAGCUGGUGAAAUUACUGAGACAAGCACUCAGAGGAAGGAAAUAUGGUUAUACUUUCCUUGCUAAGGAAAUCCAACCCUCCACAAGGCAGCUUUCUUCCCAUCCCCUUGACCUUUUAGGAAAAAGCCCUGUGCCCAUCCUGCUGUGAUUCAGGAGUCUCGCAGAAGACAUCAGAAUGCCUUUCUCUGAGUCACAGUCUGUAUCUUCUAGAAAAGGCUGUCCAUCUUCACCCCAAGCCCACUGGCUCCUGAGAUACGACAUCCAGACCCAGUGCAGCUGGACCUGGCCCAG
This 715-nucleotide long non-coding RNA is filed under the name Homo sapiens (human). RNAcentral's name for it is "lncAB15.5". The record is from RNAcentral. Lineage: Eukaryota; Metazoa; Chordata; Mammalia; Primates; Hominidae.